AACACAUGCAAGUCGAGGGGCAGCAGGACUGUAGCAAUACAGUUGCUGGCGACCGGCAAACGGGUGCGGAACACGUACGCAACUUACCCAAAACUGGUGAAUAGCCCUCCGAAAGGAGGAUUAAUACACCGUAACUUAAUGAGGUGGCAUCACUUUAUUAAUAUAGCUCCGGCGGUUUUGGAUGGGCGUGCGCCUGAUUAGGUAGUUGGUGUGGGUAACGGCCCACCAAGCCUACGAUCAGUAACUGGUGUGAGAGCACGACCAGUCACACGGGCACUGAGACACGGGCCCGACUCCUACGGGAGGCAGCAGUAAGGAAUAUUGGUCAAUGGACGCAAGUCUGAACCAGCCAUGCCGCGUGAAGGAUGAAGGUCCUCUGGAUUGUAAACUUCUUUUAUAGGGGACGAACCUCUUUUUCUAAAGAGACUGACGGUACCCUAGGAAUAAGCACCGGCUAACUCCGUGCCAGCAGCCGCGGUAAUACGGAGGGUGCAAGCGUUAUCCGGAUUCACUGGGUUUAAAGGGUGCGUAGGAGGGCAGGUAAGUCAGUGGUGAAAUCUUGGGGCUUAACCCCGAAACUGCCGUUGAUACUAUCUGUCUUGAAUCCCGUGGAGAUGAGCGGAAUAUGUCAUGUAGCGGUGAAAUGCUUAGAUAUGACAUAGAACACCAAUUGCGAAGGCAGCUCGUUACACGAAGAUUGACUCUGAGGCACGAAAGCGUGGGGAUCAAACAGGAUUAGAUACCCUGGUAGUCCACGCCCUAAACGAUGGAUACUCGACAUACGCGAUACACAGUGUGUGUCUGAGCGAAAGCAUUAAGUAUCCCACCUGGGAAGUACGACCGCAAGGUUGAAACUCAAAGGAAUUGACGG
This 871-nucleotide ribosomal RNA is filed under the name uncultured bacterium. RNAcentral's name for it is "bacterial SSU rRNA". It matches the Rfam family "Bacterial small subunit ribosomal RNA", at positions 50 to 916 of the family's 1533-position model. The record is from RNAcentral.